GAUGAAGAACGUAGCGAAAUGCAAUACGUAAUGUGAAUUGCAGAAUUCAGUGAAUCAUCGAGUCUUUGAACGCACAUUGCGCCCCCUGGUAUUCCGGGGGGCAUGCCUGUCCGAGCGUCAUUGCUGCCCUCAAGCACGGCUUGUGUGUUGGGCCUCCGUCCUCCUCCCGGGGGACGGGCCCGAAAGGCAGCGGCGGCACCGCGUCCGGUCCUCGAGCGUAUGGGGCUUCGUCACCCGCUCUUGUAGGCCCGGCCGGCGCUUGCCGACACAUCAAUCUUUUUUCCAGGUUGACCUCGGAUCAGGUAGGGAUACCCGCUGAACUUAAGCAUAUCAAUAAGCGGAGGA
RNAcentral lists this unclassified non-coding RNA (345 nucleotides) under soil metagenome. RNAcentral's name for it is "partial contains 5.8S ribosomal RNA, internal transcribed spacer 2, and large subunit ribosomal RNA". The stretch from base 1 to 120 matches the Rfam family "5.8S ribosomal RNA", at positions 35 to 154 of the family's 154-position model. The record is from RNAcentral.